Molecule: ribosomal RNA, 385 nt
Filed under: uncultured bacterium
Lineage: Bacteria
Description: bacterial SSU rRNA
Rfam family: Bacterial small subunit ribosomal RNA
Source: RNAcentral
UGGGGAAUAUUGCACAAUGGGCGCAAGCCUGAUGCAGCGACGCCGCGUGAGGGAUGAAGGCCUUCGGGUUGUAAACCUCUUUCAGUAGGGAAGAAGCGAAAGUGACGGUACCUGCAGAAGAAGCGCCGGCUAACUACGUGCCAGCAGCCGCGGUAAUACGUAGGGCGCAAGCGUUAUCCGGAAUUAUUGGGCGUAAAGAGCUCGUAGGCGGUUUGUCGCGUCUGCCGUGAAAGUCCGGGGCUUAACUCCGGAUCUGCGGUGGGUACGGGCAGACUUGAGUGAUGUAGGGGAGACUGGAAUUCCUGGUGUAGCGGUGAAAUGCGCAGAUAUCAGGAGGAACACCGAUGGCGAAGGCAGGUCUCUGGGCAUUAACUGACGCUGAGGA